CCUACUCUGCCAAGUGUGGUAACAAGUACCGGUUUACAGCGGAGAAAAAGAAAGACAAGAUUCUCGCUUUGUGAAAUAUUCAUUUGUCAGCGGAAAGAGAAUGGACAAUAAACAAAUAAGUCCAUGAAAAUAUCAGAUUUUUUAUUUUUGAUUACAGAGUCUCCUAGACAAUAAUAAACACUGCGAAGAAGGCAGUGAUGGGAUGGGGGCGUGGGGGAGAAGGCGGGAGAGGGACUUUCGAUUCAGGUGAUAAGUUCUCCCCGAGAUGAUGUUUAGCUAAGACGUGGACGUCAAGAAGGAGCCAAAUGCUCGAGAUCCAGGAACAGAGGGUUCCCAGUGGAAGGGACAGCGAAUGCAAAGCUCUGAGGAAAGAGAGCUCUUGGCUAAGGUGUCUGGAGCAGAGCCAGCUAGGGAGGAAGCAGUGUGGAAGAAAUCUGAGAGGUGGCCAGGGGCCGAAUUGCAUAGCCCAAGGGAAGAAUACGGCCAUAACUUACCCUGUUUGUGAAAGGGUAAGAGUGCAGAUAUUCAGCAGGAAGAGGGAGUGCAGCCUAAAGAUCAACCUGAGUGUUUUCAUACACAUCUAUAAUCAUAGAUCUGGACAUCAUCAUAUCCAGCAAAAUUUCAACUUAGAAGAAUAUUUCUAAAAUAUUAGAACAACAAUUAUGGAUGGAAUUGUCUCCCUUCCACAAAGUCAUAUGUUGAAGCCUUAACCUAACCCCCAAUAUGACUGUAUUUGGGCCUUUAGGGAGGAAAGGUUAAAUUAGGUCAUGGGAUAGAGCCCUAAUCCAAUAGGACUAGUGGCCUUGUAGAAACAGGAAGAGAUUAUAACAGUCAUGAGAGCACCGAAGAAAGACCAGGUGAGGACACUGCAAGAAGGCCGCCACCUACAAGCCAAAGAGAGAAGUUGUGGGAGAACCAAACCUAUCACCACCUCGAUGAGAGGGAAGACAUAGAAAGAGUAAAUCCUUCCUUCCAUUACAGACUCCAGAAAUAACACUCGUGUGAUCCUGAAUGAGUCUCACCUGCUCUCAGUAAAAUAAAACACUUGGGCUAAGAGAACUCUGAUGUCUA
Molecule: long non-coding RNA, 1071 nt
Filed under: Sus scrofa (pig)
Lineage: Eukaryota; Metazoa; Chordata; Mammalia; Artiodactyla; Suidae
Description: lncRNA (ENSSSCG00055024011.1)
Source: RNAcentral